GUGCUCUUGCCUACAGCACAUGUAAUAGAAUUGAUGUGAUACUGAGAAGAUUAGCGUGAGGAUGACAUGGAAAUUUGUUAAGCAUUCCAUAGUUUA
Molecule: small nuclear RNA, 96 nt
Organism: Dipodomys ordii (Ord's kangaroo rat)
Lineage: Eukaryota; Metazoa; Chordata; Mammalia; Rodentia; Heteromyidae
Source: Ensembl